AUUAGAUGAGCCUAUAUUAGAUUAGCUAGUUGGUGGAGUAAUAGCCUACCAAGGCAAUGAUCUAUAGCUGAUCUGAGAGGAUGAUCAGCCACACUGGAACUGAGAUACGGUCCAGACUCCUACGGGAGGCAGCAGUGGGGAAUAUUGGACAAUGGGCGAAAGCCUGAUCCAGCCAUGCCGCAUGAGUGAAGAAGGCCUUUGGGUUGUAAAGCUCUUUUAGUGAGGAAGAUAAUGACGGUACUCACAGAAGAAGUCCUGGCUAACUCCGUGCCAGCAGCCGCGGUAAUACGGAGAGGGCUAGCGUUAUUCGGAAUUAUUGGGCGUAAAGGGCGCGUAGGCUGAUUAAUAAGUUAAAAGUGAAAUCCCGAGGCUUAACCUUGGAAUUGCUUUUAAAACUAUUAAUCUAGAGAUUGAAAGAGGAUAGAGGAAUUCCUGAUGUAGAGGUAAAAUUCGUAAAUAUUAGGAGGAACACCAGUGGCGAAGGCGUCUAUCUGGUUCAAAUCUGACGCUGAAGCGCGAAGGCGUGGGGAGCAAACAGGAUUAGAUACCCUGGUAGUCCACGCUGUAAACGAUGAAUGUUAAAUAUGGGAAGUUUACUUUC
Molecule: ribosomal RNA, 601 nt
Filed under: Wolbachia endosymbiont of Bemisia tabaci
Lineage: Bacteria; Pseudomonadati; Pseudomonadota; Alphaproteobacteria; Rickettsiales; Anaplasmataceae
Description: bacterial SSU rRNA
Rfam family: Bacterial small subunit ribosomal RNA
Source: RNAcentral